GUUGCAUUCACCUGUUCACAGCUCCUGAUGUUGAUGAGCAGAAAGCCUGCCGCGGCCGUUGAUUGGAGGAGCCGCAACACCAUGGUACUCUUCUCCUUGUAUCUUAGCCCCACCGGAGAUGUGAACUCAGGAUGGGCAAUGAAGACAGAAGUCGAGAAAACAGGUUCAAGAAAAUGAGACAUCAGUGAAUCACCAUGUUGGAUCAUACCAAUCAUAAAUGGACUGGAGGGAGAGGUCUUGAGUCCUCCCAGUUGCACAAGACGUGGCGGCUUAAAUUUUGCCUGCUCAGAGAGAUCACCAUACCACGGCCAUAUCUCAUGAUGCUCUCCAGUACAGCCUUCUGCUUUCCUCUAUAUUUGAAUGCAAUGUUUGCACCUUGUGUUCCACGUCGUUUAUUUAAAGCUGAUGUUAAUUAUCAUUUUGCUGAUAAAUUGUACAAUUUUAACUCCAGCUACCAAUGCUACCAAUGCUACCAAUGCUACCAAUGCUACCAAUGCUACCACAGGGCAAGAGGUAGGCCAGUGCCAUCCUCUGAGGGUUAGGGUCCAUCUAAUGCACACCAUACAGUGCAAUUGUACACCCUUUUGCACAUGCUCUACAGAGAAAACAAAGCUUUACAGUUUAUAGUGAAAAAUGUCGAUUAUAUAUAUUUAACCUCUGUAAUAGUCUAAAUAUUUAUUAUUGAGCCAUUUGUACAUAAUAGAGCUUUUUCAUUUAUUUUGUAACUUUGUAAUUUAUUGUAUUAUUGACUUUAGUUCAGUCUGUUAUUGUUACAGUCUUUGAGCAGCUGUAAUAAUUUCCUUAGAGAUUAAUAAAAGUAUUCUGAUUCUGAUUUUCGAUUACAAUGGAGUUCCACCUAAUGUGCAUGGGUUCGUUGUAGCAAUGUGGCCAUGCUUCCCGUGACGAACACCACAACAAACAUGGACGCUGAGGUGACGAUAUACCUGCUGCUCAGUCUGUGGCUUUAUGGAAGAUUUGGGGACCACAGUGCUCGUUUCAGGGUCUCAGUUUUGAUUUUCGUAACAAGACACACGUGACUCGUCAAUUAUAACUUUAGAUUUUACUAUAAAAAGGUACACGCCUGGCACAUUAUACACAGUAACCUGCCUAGUCAGCUUAUGUUGAUGUCUUCUAAUUUAGCAGAAGAUUUAUUCACAUACAAGGCAGAGAAAUUUUUGCCUCUGUCACAGAGUGGACAGCAGAGUUUUUGUUUUUGUUUGUUUGUUUAAUUAUUAGUAAGUGUGCAGUAUAUUAAGCAAAAAUGUAGCAUUUAACCUAGCUUGAUUUAGAAGUCUGUGGGAAAUUACCUCCUAACUCACGUUGUAACCAUUAGUAGUUCACGUUAUCCAGGAAGAGAUCAGCAAGUCAGGUCAUGUCAAAGGUUUACAGUGUAGUUUCACUUGUUGUGCCACAAAGUGAUUUCCAAUGUUUCUCUGUUUUUCUUAUGUCUAAUAUAUUGGCUUAUAUCGGUAUGUUUUGGUAAAUAAACUGUAAUGAACAGGAUUUGUGAAGGAGUUAUAAAGACAUGACUUGUUUUUGAAGUGUCUUUAUAACAGCGUAAUUGUUACAGACCUUUUGAUCACUUAAAGUGUGCUUACAGAACUGUGAUGUUAUAUUUCUUAGCUAGAUCUCUCUGGAAAGCCAUAUUUUUAAUGUCCAUAAGACUUCAGUCAUAUAACACAACCAGCCUUAUCAUGAAAUUACUGAAACCACAAUGUAAAAAAAUCAGAUAGGUAAAAAACACUUAACUUUGAAAUAUCGAUUCUUUUUGAUAAAUAUAUAUAUAGUCAUACAUAUUAGGAUAUGACUGAUUAGCAUGCAGUGUUAAAAACAAAUACAGGUAAGGCAGGUGAGGCUUGCAGUCAAAACUAUUCUUUGAAUAUCUGACUUAUAAAUAAAUACACAACGAUAUAACUACUGUGUAAUAGACAAACUACUGCAGAUCAUUUUUUUAUUAUUAACAAUACCAAAUUAUCAAAAAGGGCAGUUUUGUCACGUUCCAUUCCUACAUUCAACCUAACCCUUUUUAAGCACCUCCCAUGACACACAGUCCCAUCGCAUUAAAAAGACCCUUCAAAAUACUCUCAGGAUCAGCAGAACAAGAUACGAGAUGGGCCCUGGAAACUGCAGGAUCUGUGCGGCGCUCUUUACCUGCUUCAUCGUGUUGGGAUCUGCAGGUGGGAUUUGACUUUCAUCAAAUGUUUUUUGAAAACAGCAGCAGCGGUGUAAACACAAGACACUAGCAUUAUUAGCAUUAGCAUUAACGCCUGGGAGUUAGUUUAACUUAGCUUGGCGACAAGAUCGAAGAAGCUUCUGCACAAGACUAGGGGGGGAUCAGAACAAUGUUUGGCUACAACAUCGCUUUCCACACCCGUCAUUGUGUCUGUAGACAUAUACUGACCACCCGAUCGACCCCUGUUCCUGACAAGGCCUUUUAGCUCCUCAUGUCAAAGAUGCAAGCUGAGUCGACACCGGUUAGCCCAGUUGAUAAUCAAGCGAGACAUCAAAGUAGAUGAA
This is a long non-coding RNA of Oreochromis aureus, 2517 nucleotides long. RefSeq lists it as uncharacterized. The transcript is spliced from 3 exons. Lineage: Eukaryota; Metazoa; Chordata; Actinopteri; Cichliformes; Cichlidae. The record is from RefSeq and is a predicted model, not a curated record.